AAAAAGCAGCAGCAGCAGCUACAGCUUUCUCUCUCACAUUUCCCGAUUUUACUCACCCUUGGAACUUUCCAGCUGAGGGAACUUUGCUGGGAAACAAAGCAGCUCAAGGUGCCUGUGCCAAGAUAUUAGCAUAUAUUGCUCCAGGCAAAGACACCGCUGGGGCGCUCCAUCUGUUUUGCCAAGUUCUCUUAUCACCCCACUCCCCUCUGCAGGGAGCCUUCUUUCCAGGCCUGACUACCAUGCCAUGAGAAGCCCACAUGGACAGGCUGCCAUCACACGACUGCCACCGACUGCCACCUUGGCAGCUCCAGGCAGCGUGGAGGAGAGAAGAGCCAUGGCCCGGGUGCCAGGACUCCUGUUCCUCAGAAUUUGGCAGCCAAAUAAAAUGGUGGUUGUUUUAUGCUA
Long non-coding RNA from Cavia porcellus (domestic guinea pig), 405 nucleotides. RefSeq lists it as uncharacterized. The transcript is spliced from 2 exons. The record is from RefSeq and is a predicted model, not a curated record. NCBI's taxonomy places the organism in Eukaryota, Metazoa, Chordata, Mammalia, Rodentia, Caviidae.